AUUGAACGCUGGCGGCAGGCCUAACACAUGCAAGUCGAACGGUAACAGGAAGCAGCUUGCUGCUUCGCUGACGAGUGGCGGACGGGUGAGUAAUGUCUGGGAAACUGCCUGAUGGAGGGGGAUAACUACUGGAAACGGUAGCUAAUACCGCAUAACGUCGCAAGACCAAAGAGGGGGACCUUAGGGCCUCUUGCCAUCGGAUGUGCCCAGAUGGGAUUAGCUAGUAGGUGGGGUAACGGCUCACCUAGGCGACGAUCCCUAGCUGGUCUGAGAGGAUGACCAGCCACACUGGAACUGAGACACGGUCCAGACUCCUACGGGAGGCAGCAGUGGGGAAUAUUGCACAAUGGGCGCAAGCCUGAUGCAGCCAUGCCGCGUGUAUGAAGAAGGCCUUCGGGUUGUAAAGUACUUUCAGCGGGGAGGAAGGGAGUAAAGUUAAUACCUUUGCUCAUUGACGUUACCCGCAGAAGAAGCGCCGGCUAACUCCGUA
This 490-nucleotide ribosomal RNA is filed under the name uncultured bacterium. RNAcentral describes it as "partial 16S ribosomal RNA". It matches the Rfam family "Bacterial small subunit ribosomal RNA", at positions 30 to 507 of the family's 1533-position model. The record is from RNAcentral.